Molecule: ribosomal RNA, 529 nt
Filed under: uncultured Streptococcus sp.
Lineage: Bacteria; Bacillati; Bacillota; Bacilli; Lactobacillales; Streptococcaceae
Description: bacterial SSU rRNA
Rfam family: Bacterial small subunit ribosomal RNA
Source: RNAcentral
GACGAAACGCUGGCGGCGUGCCUAAAUACAUGCAAAGUAGAAACGCUGAGGUUUGGGUGUUUACACUAGACUGAUGAGUUGGCGAAACGGGUGAGUAAACGCGUAGGUAAACCUGCCUCAUAGCGGGGGGAUAACUAUUGGAAACGAUAGCUAAUACCGCAUAAGAGUAAUUAACACAUGUUAGUUAUUUAAAAAGGAGCAAUUGCUUCACUGUGAGAUGGACCUGCGUUGUAUUAGCUAGUUGGUGAGGUAAAGGCUCACCAAGGCGACGAUACCAUAGCCCGACCCUGAGAGGGUGAUCGGGCCACACUGGGACUGAGACACGGCCCAGACUCCUACGGGAGGCAGCAGUAGGGAAUCUUCGGCAAUGGACGGAAGUCUGACCGAGCAACGCCGCGUGAGUGAAGAAGGUUUUCGGAUCGUAAAGCUCUGUUGUUAGAGAAGAACGUUGGUAGGAGUGGAAAAUCUACCAAGUGACGGUAACUAACCAGAAAGGGACGGCUAACUACGUGCCAGCAGCCGCGGUAAU